Long non-coding RNA from Odontomachus brunneus, 1098 nucleotides. RefSeq lists it as uncharacterized. NCBI's taxonomy places the organism in Eukaryota, Metazoa, Arthropoda, Insecta, Hymenoptera, Formicidae. The transcript is spliced from 3 exons. The record is from RefSeq and is a predicted model, not a curated record.
GCGUAAAGCGGACCAUAAUUCGGUGCGCCGCCCCGCAAUCAGGUUCGUGAUCGUGCUAUCCAGCCGCCUCGCUCGUCGUCAUCCGGGAGAGAGAGACGGUCGUGUGUGUGCACGCUUUUACUCACGUAGUUACUCGCUCGGUGCUCGUUCAACAACUCUCGCUACGUGCUACGCGGGAGCGGCGUGCGCGUACUCCGCGAUUCAUUGAUCUUACACGCGCUGGGUUUGAGCGCUGCUUCGAUAUUCGUAUAUCGCGCCCCGAAGUAACGCGACAGGACAGUGUCGCCGCGCGAAAGAGGACUCUCGGUAGAACAGUGGUGUGCCGUGACGCAGGAACGGAGCGACGCAAGAAAGAGAGAGAAUGACGAGAAGCGCGAUGCCACACCGGUAGCUGCUGUACGGUCAAGUCCUUCGGUUACUCUCAUUGUUCAGUUGUCCAGACGGUCUGUUUGGUUGCGCACAAACUCGUGGGAUCCUGAUUUGAUCGUUCCGGCCGUUACUCACGUGUCAUCCAGGACGAAGAGGCUGUUACUCAUUAUUUUCAACGGCUAGUGCGAUUAAGAGAGAAGACCCGAAAGAGAGAAAGAGCGAAGGUGAGACUGGAGUGACUUGAAAACGGGGAAGAAAGAAGGGAAAGCGCAGGAAAGAGGAUAGCGAGCAGAAGGCGUAGAAAAGUAAAGCAACAGCAAGUAGGGGUGAAAAAGGGAAUGAAAAACACGGACACGAGCCGAGGUGAUUCUAUAGGUGGCGUAGUCAGCAGCCAAGAACGAGGAGGCAGUGCGAGGCGCGAGAAAGCGCGGAUAGGGACUUCCAAUUUCGGCAGUCCACUUUCCGCUACCGGAUGUCGCGUCGGGGUAGCAGAGGACGGCAGGGCGAUCGUGAAAGGACCGAGUGAUUACACUAAUCCCCACUUGCAAAUACUUCUAUACGCGGGCACAAGUAAUAACACGUGUUAGGCAUCCAUUGCGAGCAAGUGCUGGAACGGUGGAGUAAACUUCAAGAGUGGGAGAAAACACCACGCGGAUUUUCGGCGUUAUUGGGUCGACAGUACGGACGAUAGAAGAGACACCGUCCACCAGCCGUCGUCAUCUUGUUGGG